AGCGGCAGGCUUAACACAUGCAUGUCGAGGGGUAACGAUCCCGCUUCGGUGGGAGGCGACGACCGGCAAAUGGGUGAGUAAUACAUAUGCAACUUGCCCGUAGCUGGAGGAUAGCUUCCGGAAACGGAAAUUAAUACUUCAUAAUAUCCUAAUAUCGCAUGUUAUAAGGAUUAAAGUUUCGACGGCUACGGAUGGGCAUAUGUCCCAUUAGCUUGUUGGUGAGGUAACGGCUCACCAAGGCUACGAUGGGUAGGGGGCCUGAGAGGGUGAUCCCCCACACUGGUACUGAGACGCGGACCAGACUCCUACGGGAGGCAGCAGUGAGGAAUAUUGGUCAAUGGGCGAAAGCCUGAACCAGCCAUGCCGCGUGCAGGAUGACUGUCCUAUGGAUUGUAAACUGCUUUUCUGCAGGAAGAAACGCUUCUACGUGUAGAGGUUUGACGGUACUGCAGGAAUAAGCAUCGGCUAACUCCGUGCCGGCAGCCGCGGUAAUACGGAGGAUGCGAGCGUUAUCCGGAUUCAUUGGGUUUAAAGGGUGCGUAGGCGGAUUGGUAAGUCAAAGGUGAAAGUCUGUAGCUUAACUAUAGAAGUGCCUUUGAUACUGCUAGUCUUGAGUACAGUUGAGGCGAGUGGAAUGUGUAGUGUAUCGGUGAAAUGCAUAGAUACUACACAGAACACCAAUUGUGAAGACAGCUCGCUAAGCUGCUACUGACGCUCAGGCACGAAAGCGUGGGGAGCGAACAGGAUUAGAUACCCUGGUAGUCCACGCUGUAAACUAUGAUCACUAGCUGUUGGCGAUAAAUUGUCAGUGGCUGAGCGAAAGCGUUAAGUGAUCCACCUGGGGAGUACGAUCGCAAGGUUGAAACUCAAAGGAAUUGACGGGGGCCCGCACAAGCGGUGGAACGUGUGGUUUAAUUCGAUGAUACGCGAGGAACCUUACCUGGGCUUAAAUGUAGAACGACGUCCUGAGAAAUCGGGAUUCCCUUCGGGGCGGACUACAAGGUGCUGCAUGGUUGUCGUCAGCUCGUGCCGUGAGGUAUCGGGUUAAGUCCCAUAACGAGCGCAACCCCUAUUGUUAGUUGCCAGCGGAUAAUGCCGGGGACUCUAACAAAACUGCCCGUGUAAACGGGAGGAAGGUGGGGAUGACGUC
Molecule: ribosomal RNA, 1150 nt
Filed under: uncultured organism
Description: bacterial SSU rRNA
Rfam family: Bacterial small subunit ribosomal RNA
Source: RNAcentral